This 726-nucleotide long non-coding RNA is filed under the name Homo sapiens (human). RNAcentral's name for it is "HSALNT0076596". The record is from RNAcentral. Lineage: Eukaryota; Metazoa; Chordata; Mammalia; Primates; Hominidae.
GUGGAUAUGGUCAUCAAGACAUAUAAGUGGGAUGGUACCAUGCCAGAGGAGAUCACAAUUAAAGGUCUCAAAUAAUGACACUGCAUUUUAGAGAAUCCUCUUGACCAUCUGACUUUUGAGAAAAAUAAUUGAGAAAAAUUUGGAGGAAGAAAUUGGGCAACAGCCAUUAUUAUCUGACGAGCAUCAUGGUUAGUGUCUUUGAUGGAGGAUAUACUGGCAGGACUUGGCUUAUUUUCACUCUUUCCACUCUAUAUUGAUCUAUUGAUCUCUUCUUCCCAAUUGUGGUCCUGCUAACCAACAGUAAGCCUGGGAUCAUCUUUAGAUGUUUUGAUGCAAAUUCACAGAUACACUGGUGACAAGAAGCAACAAUUUACAUAGCCCACUUGCCAGGCCCACUCCAGGAGCUAGACAGGGUUAGCUUCAAGAACUUCUUACAAGUACCAAUGUAUUUGCCCACACCACUCAUUCAGGAAAGCUGGUGUGGGCUUUUUCUCUGAUUCUGGCCUUUUGGGCUCUUUACUAUUUAAGCUUGUCCCACGGUGUGUAAGGUCUUAGUCUUACAAAAAUUUUUCUUAUGAAAUAAUAUACAUGAUGGUGGCUCUUCUCUUGACUUAACUCCAAUUGGUUCAGAUGAUUAUGUUUUAUGACUUUUUUAUUCUUCCUCCAUAUCAUAUUGCCAUACUUCUCAACAACAUGUGUAGCAUUUUUCUAACAUUGUGGAACUUG